GGGAUCAUUAAAGAGUAGUUUUUACAACAACUCCAAACCCAUGUGAACUUACCUAUGUUGCCUCGGCGGGGGAGCCUACCCUGUAGGAGCCCUGCCGAUGGACCAUUAAACUCUGUUUAUUUUGUAACUUCUGAGUGUUUAAACUUAAUAAGUUAAAACUUUCAACAACGGAUCUCUUGGUUCUGGCAUCGAUGAAGAACGCAGCGAAAUGCGAUAAGUAAUGUGAAUUGCAGAAUUCAGUGAAUCAUCGAAUCUUUGAACGCACAUUGCGCCCAUUAGUAUUCUAGUGGGCAUGCCUGUUCGAGCGUCAUUUCAACUAUCAAGCCCUAUUUGCUUGGUGUUGGGAGCUUGCCCUACCCUGUAGGACAACUCCUCAAAUAUAUUGGCGGAGUCGCGAAGACCCCAAGCGUAGUAACUUUUCUCGCUUCAGGUGUGUCGGCGCUGGCAUCCAGCCAUUAAACCUCUAAUUUUUUAGUCUUGACCUCGG
Molecule: ribosomal RNA, 487 nt
Filed under: Allocryptovalsa cryptovalsoidea
Lineage: Eukaryota; Fungi; Ascomycota; Sordariomycetes; Xylariales; Diatrypaceae
Description: eukaryotic LSU rRNA
Rfam family: 5.8S ribosomal RNA (bases 157-310)
Source: RNAcentral